This 620-nucleotide long non-coding RNA is filed under the name Homo sapiens (human). RNAcentral's name for it is "HSALNT0280098". Lineage: Eukaryota; Metazoa; Chordata; Mammalia; Primates; Hominidae. The record is from RNAcentral.
CUCCCGGGUUGGCAGACGCAUCCGUGUGCAUCCCAACUCCAUAGGGACAGAAGCUCCUGUGCUCAGGAGCCUUCCAGGCCUCUGUGUGUUUCUUCAUCUGGCUGUUCGAAUUCCACCUUGAAUGAUGAAAGUGUCUUCAGAACUGUCAUCAAAUAAUUACUCAUCCACCCAGCUGUGGAAGACUGGGCACUGCCAUUUGCCAAGUGCAGGAAAAGCUCUGAGAAACAGGAUAACUGAGGGCAACCCCUGACACGAUAAAGUCUGGCAGAGAAGAGAGAAAAGAAAAAUGCCAGCCAAAUACAUAAACUAAGUACAUUUCACCGUGAUGUGCUUCUGCAUGGAGUAAACAGUAAAAUGCAACAAUUACACCAGACCCAGCCUCUCCUUUUUUGGAGGGAGGCGAUGGUUUUGAAAUAGUAAUCAAUCUUUAAAACUGGUAUACAGAGCAUGUGCUAAUGUGUGACAUGUAUGGCUGACGAAGAGACUGAAACAGAUUUUCCUUUGCCUUCUUCUCUGUAACACUGAAUAUGAUGUACAUAAGAUAAUCCUAUAGAAAAUGCACAGCAAAAAAAUGUUUUGCUAAAAAAAAAAUAAAUAAAUAAAUAAAAAUAAAAAAGCUU